UUCUCUUUUAGCGCCCCAUUUAUUACACGAGAAAAUAUUUCUCAUGAAAUCACUCACACACAAAUUAAGCCACGCUCUCCUCUUCUCACGCCCUUAGUGGAUAGGGAUAAAUUGAUUUCUAUUUGAAUUCAAAAUUUGAUUUGAAUUCAAAUAUGCAAUUACUCAUCUUUAACCUCUCACGUGGAUAAGAUGUUUGAUGUUGUUUUAAAAGGAGGAGAAGAGUGGGGAGUGUGCAAGAAAAUUUUUGGAGAGAAAAUCUGGGC
This 263-nucleotide long non-coding RNA is filed under the name Elaeis guineensis (African oil palm). RNAcentral describes it as "long non-coding RNA (EGUI_LNC057228)". The record is from RNAcentral. Lineage: Eukaryota; Viridiplantae; Streptophyta; Magnoliopsida; Arecales; Arecaceae.